Molecule: long non-coding RNA, 2705 nt
Organism: Populus nigra (black poplar)
Lineage: Eukaryota; Viridiplantae; Streptophyta; Magnoliopsida; Malpighiales; Salicaceae
Exons: 2
Source: RefSeq, a predicted model, not a curated record
UCUUGGACCAGAGAAUCAUUCUCAUUAAAAGAUUUGUGAUCAUCCAUUGCCAUAGAGAAACGCUUUUCCAAAUUUGAGAAAAGGGUUAAGCCAAUUUCACUUGUGGUAGAUAGGAAUUUUCCAAUUGAAGAGUCUCCAUCAGAGCGUCACCUGCAACGUUAACAGAACAUCCUUGUAAGUGUCUCUGCAACUAGCCAUAGAUUCACAUAGUCUUUGAGGUAUUUCUCGAAUUACCACUGCUUCAUGUUUGAGUUCUGAUAUCUCCCCCAUUAAAUGAUCAUUCAACUGUAAUUGUUCUAAGUGCUUCUUCUGCAAACAUAUGCAUGCAAUACAUUAAGAUUAAAUGCUUGCACCAGAAGAAUAAAAUAGACAGAACUGAAUAGCAUGAUCAGCCAAAAACACUUUGCUACGUUCCAUCAAUUCACAGAGAUAUCAAGAGUUCUCCUAUUUGGAAUAAGACGUAUACCUAGAAACAGUAUUUAUUUAGAGGUCUCAGAUUGAAAAGAAAGCUUUCUACUGGUAUCAAUGCAUAGCUAACACCAGGAAUAGAUGGAAGCUUUGUGUGUGGACGGGAAUUUACAAGUGUUAUUCUUCUAAUUUUCAAAUGAGCUAAAAAUGAAAAACAAGCACACUAAAGAGUCGUCAUUGCACUUUCCUGUGUCAUAAAUUGCACAUUGGAUGCAUUUCUACAUCAUAGUUACCAAUAGUAGUGGUGCGUACUGUAUAAAAAAGUGCCCAAUGAAAUGGAACUAUUUGAGGAGAGCGAACAACAGCAACUGAAUACAGUCAUCAAGAACAUGCCACUUUCAAAUAUCAAGCUACCUCACUGAAUUAUCACCGAUGUAUGAAAUCGAAAAUUGAGAAAGGGCAAGAGCAAAAGGCAAACCUCGAGUUCAUUCUUCUCUUCAAGGACAAGUUCUAGUUGCCUUUUGAGAUUCUGGACCUCUACUUUGUAAUCCUCAGUUGAAGAACCCUGGCAGCGAUGUGGAUGAGUCUAAUUAAAAACAUUAUGUGGCUGGAUAGUGCUACUAGUAUUAUCUAAACAUUGAAAAAUAAAAAGGUAUCACUAUCAUAGCUAUUUAUCACAUUGAACGAGCAAUAUCAAAGUUUGAAAAUGCUAGAACACUAGAAGACUAAUUUAAUAAAGGUCAUGCCAGUAUGUAUGCUUUAUUUAUUUAUUUCUGUUAAGUUACCAAAGAUGGAAACCCUUGGCUUCUAAUUCAACAUUGUUUUUUUAUAUGGUUUAUGAAUGCGAUGGAGAGACGAACAACCACAUGCAAACAAGAAAACUUCGAACACUUGAAACAAAAAAUGAAUUGGACCAAAAUAUAGGAGAAUUAGAAAAGGUGAACAUCAGUUCUCAAGAGGACAUCCUUGAUAUUCUCAUCUCAGGCUUUUUCCUUAGUUUAACACAUAGGAAAGGGACAAGUAGCAAUUGCAGAUAACAAGACUGAGCAUAUGAAAAACUUAACAUAAACUUACUAGAGUAACAUCACCAAAAGGAAAGGAUUGAACUUUUCUUGCAGGAGUCAUUUGAAUUGAAUCAAGGUCCGCGAUGAAUCCUUUGUUCAUUUUCAACCAUGUGUCUUCAUCGGCCACAUUGCUAUAGUUAUCUGGUAGAGGACUGAAAUCUGGCAGCCUGGAGUAAUUGGACCGUUUGCCAACAAAGGCAUUGGAAUCUGCCUUGAAUGUAGGGGUUCUGAAAACAUCAUUUUUGAAGACACUGUUGCUGCCACUGAAUUCUUCCUUGAGGAUUUGUCUCCCAGCAUUCUGUUCCUACGACCAGUAGUUAUUUUAUUAUAAGAAUAUCAGUAACCUAAGAGAUGAGUAGAAGUUUUUGUUAAUGCAUAAGAAAUCACAGAAAGAAUAGUAAUGAUUACAUGCAAUAUAUUAAAUGAAUACAAAUAGAAUAAAUAUAUAUUCUUUGCCAUGACUGUUGUGACGCAAAACUUGACUAUAGAAGACCAGAAGGGAACAAAUUUGAGGUUACAUAUCUUGCUUACAUCUGUACAUGAUCAGUUUGCACCAGGUAUGUGCUUUAUAUCACUCUAUUCUUUGGCAUCCUUCAGAUGCUUCAUUAAAAAUCAUGCUAACAGUCAUAUAAAUUUGUCUUUAAGAAAAUUUUGAAAUGCUGCAUUACUAAUAUAGGCAUAAAUGAUGGAGAAAUGCAAGAACCAGGGCAAGUUACUCUUGUUUACAGCAAGAAGAUAUGGACCAAUAGUGGAUGAUGGUAAAACCAGUAUCUGCUGCCAAUUUGCCAAUAUCAAAGUACUAGAAAGAAGGUUAUGCUAUCCGUGUAGUGACCUCUGCUGGACAAAAGUGCCGAGAAAUUAUGGCGUUUUGCUUUGCUUGAAAUAUACCUGGAUAGAGUUCCUAUCACUAUCUGAAAUGGAGGCACCGGUACUGAGAUUGUCAAUUUUCAUCUGCUGCUCUUUGAUGCAUUGAUCACGUUCCUUGUGUGAUUUCCUCUCCUCUUUCAGUUCCAUCUCAAGCUUUUCUCUCUCCAAUUCGUACUGGAAAUUGGAAAUUGGAGCUCAAUUAACACAAGUUAUGAGCGGUGUUCAUGAUAAUGGUCAGAUCAUGUUAGCGUAGAAUCUACCUUCAGCAUGUCAUUUCUCAACUUCAAAAUUUCUUGCUCCAGUACUUCAGCCCGGGAUCCCUGAACAAGUAUUUAACUUAAUCAAAUAAUAUCUAAAUCUUUACCA